GAUGAACGCUGGCGGCGUGCCUAAUACAUGCAAGUCGAGCGAACGGACGAGAAGCUUGCUUCUCUGAUGUUAGCGGCGGACGGGUGAGUAACACGUGGAUAACCUACCUAUAAGACUGGGAUAACUUCGGGAAACCAGAGCUACUACCCGAUAAUAUUUUGAACCGCAUGGUUCCAAAGUUAAAGUCGGCCUUUCUUUCACUUAUAGCUGACUCAGCCCUGCAUUAGUUAGUUGGGAAGGUAACGGCUUACCAACGCAACGAUGGAUACCCGACCUCAGAGGGAGGUCGGCCACACGGGAAGUGAGACACAGUCCAGACACCGACGGGAGGAAGCAGUAGGGAAUCUUACGGGAUGGGGGAAAGCCGGACGGUGCAACGCCGCGUGAGUGAUGAAGGUCUUCGGAUCGUAGAACGCUGUUAUUAGGGAAGAACAAAUGUGUAAGUAACUGUGAACAUCUUGACGGUACCGAAUCAGAAAGCCACGGCUAACUACGUG
This 497-nucleotide ribosomal RNA is filed under the name uncultured bacterium. Its description in RNAcentral is "partial 16S ribosomal RNA". It matches the Rfam family "Bacterial small subunit ribosomal RNA", at positions 28 to 507 of the family's 1533-position model. The record is from RNAcentral.